CCUACGGGAGGCAGCAGUAGGGAAUCUUCCACAAUGGGCGAAAGCCUGAUGGAGCAACGCCGCGUGGGUGAAGAAGGUCUUCGGAUCGUAAAACCCUGUUGUUAGAGAAGAAAGUGCGUGAGAGUAACUGUUCACGUUUCGACGGUAUCUAACCAGAAAGCCACGGCUCACUACGUGCCAGCAGCCGCGGUAAUACGUAGGUGGCAAGCGUUAUCCGGAUUUUUUGGGCGUAAAGGGAACGCAGGCGGUCUUUUAAGUCUGAUGUGAAAGCCUUCGGCUUAACCGGAGUAGUGCAUUGGAAACUGGGAGACUUGAGUGCAGAAGAGGAGAGUGGAACUCGAUGUGUAGCGGUGAAAUGCGUAGAUAUAUGGAAGAACACCAGUGGCGAAAGCGGCUCUCUGGUCUGUAACUGACGCUGAGGUUCGAAAGCGUGGGUAGCAAACAGGAUUAGAUACCCGUGUAGUC
RNAcentral lists this ribosomal RNA (465 nucleotides) under uncultured bacterium. RNAcentral's name for it is "partial 16S ribosomal RNA". It matches the Rfam family "Bacterial small subunit ribosomal RNA", at positions 338 to 795 of the family's 1533-position model. The record is from RNAcentral.